AGGUGCGGUUAUACUAGUACUAAUGCACCGCAUCCCAUCUAAGCUCCGACGUUAAACGCGCUUUAACAAAAGUAGUACUAGGAUGGGUGAUCUCCUGAUAAGUCCUUGUGCUCAUGGU
Molecule: ribosomal RNA, 118 nt
Filed under: Amborella trichopoda
Lineage: Eukaryota; Viridiplantae; Streptophyta; Magnoliopsida; Amborellales; Amborellaceae
Source: RNAcentral